CAGGCUUAACACAUGCAAGUCGAGGGGCAGCAUGGUCUUAUCUUGCUAAGACUGAUGGCGACCGGCGCACGGGUGAGUAACACGUAUCCAACCUGCCGUCUACUCUUGGACAGCCUUCUGAAAGGAAGAUUAAUACAAGAUGGCAUCAUGAGUCCGCAUGUUCACAUGAUUAAAGGUAUUCCGGUAGACGAUGGGGAUGCGUUCCAUUAGAUAGUAGGCGGGGUAACGGCCCACCUAGUCUUCGAUGGAUAGGGGUUCUGAGAGGAAGGUCCCCCACAUUGGAACUGAGACACGGUCCAAACUCCUACGGGAGGCAGCAGUGAGGAAUAUUGGUCAAUGGGCGAGAGCCUGAACCAGCCAAGUAGCGUGAAGGAUGACUGCCCUAUGGGUUGUAAACUUCUUUUAUAAAGGAAUAAAGUCGGGUAUGGAUACCCGUUUGCAUGUACUUUAUGAAUAAGGAUCGGCUAACUCCGUGCCAGCAGCCGCGGUAAUACGGAGGAUCCGAGCGUUAUCCGGAUUUAUUGGGUUUAAAGGGAGCGUAGAUGGAUGUUUAAGUCAGUUGUGAAAGUUUGCGGCUCAACCGUAAAAUUGCAGUUGAUACUGGAUAUCUUGAGUGCAGUUGAGGCAGGCGGAAUUCGUGGUGUAGCGGUGAAAUGCUUAGAUAUCACGAAGAACUCCGAUUGCGAAGGCAGCCUGCUAAGCUGCAACUGACAUUGAGGCUCGAAAGUGUGGGUAUCAAACAGGAUUAGAUACCCUGGUAGUCCACACGGUAAACGAUGAAUACUCGCUGUUUGCGAUAUACUGCAAGCGGCCAAGCGAAAGCGUUAAGUAUUCCACCUGGGGAGUACGCCGGCAACGGUGAAACUCAAAGGAAUUGACGGGGGCCCGCACAAGCGGAGGAACAUGUGGUUUAAUUCGAUGAUGCGCGAGGAACCUUACCCGGGCUUAAAUUGCAGAUGAAUUACGGUGAAAGCCGUAAGCCGCAAGGCAUCUGUGAAGGUGCUGCAUGGUUGUCGUCAGCUCGUGCCGUGAGGUGUCGGCUUAAGUGCCAUAACGAGCGCAACCCUUGCUGUCAGUUACUAACAGGUUCCGCUGAGGACUCUGACAAGACUGCCAUCGUAAGAUGUGAGGAAGGUGGGGAUGACGUCAAAUCAGCACGGCCCUUACGUCCGGGGCUACACACGUGUUACAAUGGGGGGUACAGAGGGCCGCUACCACGCGAGUGGAUGCCAAUCCCCAAAACCUCUCUCAGUUCGGACUGGAGUCUGCAACCCGACUCCACGAAGCUGGAUUCGCUAGUAAUCGCGCAUCAGCCACGGCGCGGUGAAUACGUUCCCGGGCCUUGUACACACCGCCCGUCAAGCCAUGGGAGCCGGGGGUACCUGAAGUGCGUAACCGCGAGGAGCGCCCUAGGGUAAAACUGGUGACUGG
Molecule: ribosomal RNA, 1431 nt
Filed under: uncultured organism
Description: 16S ribosomal RNA
Rfam family: Bacterial small subunit ribosomal RNA
Source: RNAcentral